This 253-nucleotide ribosomal RNA is filed under the name uncultured bacterium. Its description in RNAcentral is "partial 16S ribosomal RNA". It matches the Rfam family "Bacterial small subunit ribosomal RNA", at positions 524 to 776 of the family's 1533-position model. The record is from RNAcentral.
UACGGAGGGGGCUAGCGUUGUUCGGAAUUACUGGGCGUAAAGCGCGCGUAGGCGGAUCUGCAAGUCGGGGGUGAAAUCCCGAGGCUCAACCUCGGAACUGCCUUCGAUACUGCGGGUCUCGAGUCCGGGAGGGGUGAGUGGAAUUCCUAGUGUAGAGGUGAAAUUCGUAGAUAUUAGGAAGAACACCAGUGGCGAAGGCGGCUCACUGGCCCGGUACUGACGCUGAGGCGCGAAAGCGUGGGGAGCAAACAGG